Molecule: long non-coding RNA, 394 nt
Organism: Homo sapiens (human)
Lineage: Eukaryota; Metazoa; Chordata; Mammalia; Primates; Hominidae
Gene: SOX9-AS1
Product: SOX9 antisense RNA 1
Source: Ensembl
CAUAUUCAUAUGCUCUUGUUCCUUCUCAAAUAAUUCCAUCACUAAUACACAUUCCUUGCUGCUGCUUCCUGCUUUCGCUUUUGAAGUGCCCUUCCAUCCACUCCUCAGCUCUAUUCCCUGCAUAUCUCUAGGAGGCUGUGAGGGGAAGGAAUUAUUCUCUUUGUUUUCCACCUAAAGAAACAGAAGCUCUGGCAAUAGUCGGCUGCUUGCUCAAGGUGACACAGUUAAUGGAGAGGCAGAUCUCUGGAUGCGGCGUCUCAGGGGCCACGCCUGCCUCCCCCGCCGCCGCGCGCAUACACAGAAUUCCUCAUGCUGCUGCUAUCACGGAACUCAGGGGUUUGGCUGACUUUGUCUACUAGGAGCAGAGAACAAAGUGUGACUUGAACCAUGCACA